Molecule: ribosomal RNA, 497 nt
Filed under: uncultured bacterium
Lineage: Bacteria
Description: partial 16S ribosomal RNA
Rfam family: Bacterial small subunit ribosomal RNA
Source: RNAcentral
GAUGAACGCUGGCGGCGUGCCUAAUACAUGCAAGUCGAGCGAACAGAUAAGGAGCUUGCUCCUUUGACGUUAGCGGCGGACGGGUGAGUAACACGUGGGUAACCUACCUAUAAGACUGGGAUAACUUCGGGAGACCGGAGCUAAUACCGGAUAACAUUUGGAACCGCAUGGUUCUAAAGUGAAAGAUGGUUUUGCUAUCACUUAUAGAUGGACCCGCGCCGUAUUAGCUAGUUGGUAAGGUAACGGCUUACCAAGGCGACGAUACGUAGCCGACCUGAGAGGGUGAUCGGCCACACUGGAACUGAGACACGGUCCAGACUCCUACGGGAGGCAGCAGUAGGGAAUCUUCCGCAAUAGGCGAAAGCCUGACGGAGCAACGCCGCGUGAGUGAUGAAGGGUUUCGGCUCGUAAAACUCUGUUAUUAGGGAAGAACAAAUGUGUAAGUAACUGUGCACGUCUUGACGGUACCUAAUCAGAAAGCCACGGCUAACUACGUG